GUGGUGGCUUUCAUGCGCGUCCGUGUGAAGAGACCACCAAACAGGCUUUGUGUGAGCAAUAAAGCUGUUUAUUUCACCUGGGUGCAGGUGGGCUGAGUCCGAAAAGAGUCAGCGAAGGGAGAUAGGGGUGGGGCUGUUUUAUAGUAUUUGGGAAGGUAAUGGAAAAUUACAGUCAAAGGGCGGGCAGGAGUGGGGGGUCGCAAGGUGCUCAGUGGGGGUGCUUCUGAGCCAGGAGAAGGAAAUUUGCAGGGUUAAUCACUCAGUUAAGGUGGGGCAGGAACAAAUCACAAUGGUGGAAUGUCAUCAGUUAAGGCGGGGCAGGGCCUUUUCACUUCUUUUGUGAUUCUUCAGUUACUUCAGGCCAUCUGGGUGUAUAUGUGCAAGGCACAGGGGAUGCGAUGGCUUGGCUUGGGCUCAGAGGCCUGACAGUGGCACACGCCUGUAAUCCCAGCUACUUGGGAGCCUGAGGCAGGAGAAUCACUUGAACCCAGGAGGUGCAGGGUGCAGUGAGCCGAGAUCGCCCCACUGCACUCCAGCCUGGGCAACAGAGACUCCAUCUCAAAAAAACAAAAAAAAAAGCACAGGUCCCCUCCCUCAGUCCUGCAGACUUCCUCAAGCUGGGAAGGACCAAGGAUUUUGGGAAAUAACUCCACCGGCUUACAGACAGUGCACCCCAGGACAAAGAGUCAUGGUGUAAAUUUUAAUUAUCCUUUGUAGAGGCUUCAAAAAAAAAAAAAUCUAGAGUGCAGAGGUUCAGUCUGGUCCACACAGUUCUGAAUGCCUUUUAAUUAUCAUCACACACACCAGAGAAGGUCAUCUUAGAAUAUUUAAUCAGUUAGCACUAGAUGAAGGCUGGAGUAGGAGAGACUGGGAUAGUGGGGGGCAAUGUGGGGAUGGAGGCAGGGCGAGGGAGAUAAAGUCAAACUGGUUUUUUUUUUGUUUUUUUUUUUUUUUUUUUUUGGAGACAGAGCCUUACUCUGUCGCCCAGGCUGGAGUGCAAUGGUGUGAUCUCAGCUCACUGCAACCUCUGCCUCCUGGGUUUAAUCGAUUCUCCUGCCUCAGCCUCCCAAGUAGCUGGGAUUACAGGCACCCACCACCAUGCCCAGCUAAUUUAUUUGUAUUUUUUUAGUAGAGACAGGGUUUCACCAUGUUGGCCAGGCUGGUCUCGAACUCCUGACCUCAGGUGAUCCACCCGCCUCGGUCUCCCAAAGUGCUGGGAUUAUAGGGGUGAGCCACCGUGCCCAGCUAAGAUAUUUCAAUCUGUGAAUAACCCAUAUGGCCUGGUAACAGCAAGCACCUGGGAAUAUAUACAUAUAACCCACAUACGGACUGUCCCGUUCACUCCUCACAACCACUCUGCUAACAUACUACCAUCACCCCAUUUUAGAGAUGAGGAAACUGAGGCACUGAGAGGUAAAGUAACUUGCACAGGAUCACAAGCCAGCCGAGAAGUGGUAGAGCUUGGAUUUGAACUUACACAAUCUGGGACUCAUACUCUUAAUACACAGUGGUACUGUCAAUACAGGAGACACAUGUGGCUAUUUAAUUAAAAGUAGUUGGGCAGAGUGGCUCACUCCUAUAAUCUCAGCAUUUGGGGAGGCCAAGGCAGGAAGAUUGUUUGAGCCCAGAAGUUCAACACUGCAGUGAGCUAUAGUUACACCACUGUGCUCCAGCCUGGGCGACACAGCGAGACCCUGACUCCAAAAAAAAAUCUUAAGGUUUUUUUUUUUUUUUUUUUUUUUUUGAGACAGGGUCUCGCUCUGUUGCCCAGGCUAGAAUUUAGCGGCACGAUCACAGAUCAUCACAGCCACGCACGACCUCCUUGGCUCAAGGGAUUCCUCCCACCUCAGCCUCUCACGUAGCUGGGACUACAGGUAUGCAUAACCUCGCUGGGCUCGUUACUUUGUUUUUUUUUUAGAGGCAGGAUUUCACCAUGUUGCCCAGGGUGGUCUCGUACUCCUGGAUUCAAGCAAUCCUCCUGCUUCGGCCUCCCAAAGUGUCAGGAUUACAGGCGUGAGCCACUGUGCCCAGUCUCAAACAAAAUUAAAAAUUCAGUUUCUCAGUCACACUAGCCACAUUUCAAGUGCUCAGAAACUUUAUGUGGGGCCAGGCAUGGUGGCUCAUGCCUGCAAUCCCAGCACUUUGGGAGGCCGAGGCGGGCGGAUCACGAGGUCAGGAGUUCGAGACCAGCCUAACCAACAUGGUGAAACCCUGUCUCUACUAAAAAAAUACAAAAAUUAGCCGGGCGUGGUGGUGUGCGCCUGUAAUCUCAGCUACUUGGGAGGUUGAGGCGGGAGCAUUGCUUGAACCCGGGAGGCGGAGGAUGUGGUGAGCCGACGUCGUGCCAUUGCACUCCAGCCUGGGCAAUAAGAGCGAAACUCCGUCUCAAAAAAAAAAAACAAAGGUUUAUGUGGCCACUGGCUACUGUACUGGACAGUACAGACCUAGAACAUGAACCAAACAUCACAGAAAGUUCCAGUGGAGAACACUGCUACAUAUCUGCCUGUUUUAGUUAGAAGCCAACAUUUUAUUUUUAUUUUAUUUUAUUUUUUGAGAUGGAGUUUCGCUGCUGUUGCCCAGGCUGGAGUGCAAUGGUGCGAUCUCGGCUCACCACAACCUCCGCCUCCCAGGUUCAAGCAAUUCUCCUGCCUCAGCCUCCUGAGUAGCUGGGAUCACAGGCAUGCUCCACCACGCCCAGCUAAUUUUGUAUUUUUAGUAGAGAUGGGGUUUCU
Molecule: long non-coding RNA, 2732 nt
Filed under: Homo sapiens (human)
Lineage: Eukaryota; Metazoa; Chordata; Mammalia; Primates; Hominidae
Description: HSALNT0259754
Source: RNAcentral